GACGUAAGCUCUGAAAAGCUGACGUAGCUCCCAACGGAGAAGGAGAAGAAUUAGCUAGCUAUAGAAGCGAGAGAACGUUAUCAGAAUCCAUUUAUUGCUCCAAAGAGGAAGCAACGCAUUUAAUGGAACAACUAAGAGAAAGGACAACGAAAUGGACGACAAUGUCUUUGGUCUUUUGUGGAUGAUAUAAAAUAAGAAAAUUCAAUAAUUACAUUUUCCUUUCUUUAA
Molecule: long non-coding RNA, 228 nt
Organism: Raphanus sativus (radish)
Lineage: Eukaryota; Viridiplantae; Streptophyta; Magnoliopsida; Brassicales; Brassicaceae
Exons: 2
Source: RefSeq, a predicted model, not a curated record